Molecule: transfer RNA, 72 nt
Filed under: Bos taurus (domestic cattle)
Lineage: Eukaryota; Metazoa; Chordata; Mammalia; Artiodactyla; Bovidae
Rfam family: tRNA
About the family: Transfer RNA (tRNA) molecules are approximately 80 nucleotides in length. Their secondary structure includes four short double-helical elements and three loops (D, anti-codon, and T loops).
Source: Rfam by way of RNAcentral
UCCCUGGUGUCUCAGAUGGUAAAGCGUCUGCCUGUAAUGCAGGAGACCCAGGUUCGAUCCCUGGGUUGGGAA